GUGGGCGGAGCCAAGCGCAGCCAUGUCCGCGGCCUUGCUGCGGCGGGGCCUGGAGCUGCUGGCGGCGUCCGAGGCCCCCCGGGACCCUCCAGGUCAGGCCAAGCCGAGAGGGGCUCCGGUGAAACGGCCCCGGAAGACGAAGGCAAUUCAGGCCCAGAAACUGCGGAACUCGGCCAAGGGAAAGGUCCCCAAGUCGGCACUGGGUAAGUUCGGAAAGGGGCUGAAAGUGCUGCCUCCGGUGCUGGGACCUGCGCCCCAGAGGAGGUGGCGCUUGAGGCAGGGCUUGAAGCGUUUGCCCGGUAUUGCUAGACCUACUGUGUGCCAGGCGCGGAGCGGGGCCCUGGACAUACGAAGGUGACAGAACACCGUCCUGGCCCUCGUGAACUACGGCCCUAGUAGGGAGAGAAGCAUCAAAGAAUAUCAAACCCAGUGUAUCAUUGCUAAGUGCAUUGAAGCCUAUGAAUUAAAAGACUACGGUACUCUGAUGGGGACUUAGGCCAAGUCAGCCUUCUCUGAGGAAGUGACAUUUCAGCCGAGAGCUGAAGGAGGUAUAAGACUGAGCUAGGUGAAAAGUUGGAGAAUAUUCUAGGAAGAAUAGUAUGUGCAAAGGUCCUGAGUCAGAAAGGAGGUUGUUGCCUUUGAGAAUUUGAAAAAAUAAAGGCUGGUACGGGUGACCUAGUGAAUGAGGAUCAAAGAUGGAGCAUUUAAACACAUUCACUAACACUCUGCCAGGUGCUGAUUCUCAGUGCUGUACAAAUGUAAGCUCGUUUGAUCCUUACAACAGCCCUUUGAGGUCGAUACUACUAUCACCCCCGUUUUACAGAUGCAGAAAAAGGCACCUGCCCAGGUGGUACAGGCAUUG
This 862-nucleotide small RNA is filed under the name Pongo abelii (Sumatran orangutan). RNAcentral describes it as "retained intron". The record is from RNAcentral. Lineage: Eukaryota; Metazoa; Chordata; Mammalia; Primates; Hominidae.